This 253-nucleotide ribosomal RNA is filed under the name uncultured bacterium. RNAcentral's name for it is "partial 16S ribosomal RNA". It matches the Rfam family "Bacterial small subunit ribosomal RNA", at positions 524 to 776 of the family's 1533-position model. The record is from RNAcentral.
UACGGAGGGGGCUAGCGUUGUUCGGAAUGACUGGGCGUAAAGCGCGCGUAGGCGGACCUGCAAGUCGGGGGUGAAAUCCCGGGGCUCAACCCUGGAAUGGCCUUCGAGACUGCCGGUCUUGAGUUCGAGAGAGGUGGGUGGAAUUCCGAGUGUAGAGGUGAAAUUCGUAGAUAUUCGGAGGAACACCAGUGGCGAAGGCGGCCCACUGGCUCGACACUGACGCUGAGGUGCGAAAGCGUGGGGAGCAAACAGG